GAUGAAGAACGUAGCGAAAUGCGAUAAUUAAUGUGAAUUGCAGAAUUUAGUGAAUCAUCGAAUCUUUGAACGCACAUUGCGCCCCUUGGUAUUCCGGGGGGCAUGCCUGUUCGAGCGUCAUUUCAACCCUCGACCUCCCCUUGGGGAGGUCGGCGUUGGGGACCGGCAGCACACCGCCGGCCCUGAAAUGGAGUGGCGGCCCGUCUGCGGCGACCUCUGCGUAGUAAUACAGCUCGCACCGGAACCCCGACGCGGCCACGCCGUAAAACACCCAACUUCUGAACGUUGACCUCGAAUCAGGUAGGACUACCCGCUGAACUUAAGCAUAUCAAUAAGCGGAGGA
Molecule: unclassified non-coding RNA, 343 nt
Filed under: soil metagenome
Description: partial contains 5.8S ribosomal RNA, internal transcribed spacer 2, and large subunit ribosomal RNA
Rfam family: 5.8S ribosomal RNA (bases 1-120)
Source: RNAcentral